RNAcentral lists this small RNA (2630 nucleotides) under Histoplasma capsulatum. RNAcentral describes it as "hypothetical RNA". The record is from RNAcentral. Lineage: Eukaryota; Fungi; Ascomycota; Eurotiomycetes; Onygenales; Ajellomycetaceae.
GCUCCACAAGCAAUCCCAUGGCCACUGCCGUCUCAAAGAAUGAUGCAACAAUCUCCCUUCCAGUAUGGAAUCCGGCAACCACCCAAGCUACUCCUCCGCGAGCUGCUCCAUUGCUUCCAUCUCCAUCUGGCAACGAAGGCGGUGAAGGCGGUGAUGGUGGCGCAAGAAACCACAAUAGGCUCCGUAUCAGAUUCUCAUGUUGAUCUCUCAUCCAUAGACAAUCCGCCGCAAUUAUCCGGGUGUACGACCCUUGGUUCUCUACAGCGGAUAUUGAAGCAGCCUGUGUCUCUGGGUUCUGGGUUCUGCUUUCCUGGGAAGAUACUGCAUCAGAACCUAACACGCCCCAUUCGUGCGAUUGCACGAAUAUCCUGGACUGCAGGUGUAAGGGGAUAUUAUUGGCGAUGUUUGCUUGGAUGGUACCGUAGAGGGCGGGAGAUGAGGGGUGGUCUGUUAUGGUGACUUGGGCGGCACCGGCGAGAGCGCUUAUGAGUGACGGGAGGGCGGCACCUAGUAUUGCAUUGAGCAUGCUGCACCAAGCUCCAAAACCUUUUCCCCCUUCACACUCCAGAGCAAAUCCUUCUCCUCGCCAGCACCAUCUCCAGCCAGAUGCCUCACCGCACGCUCUAUCCCGUCCGCAACAACUAGCCCACCACCCCACAAAUAAUGCGCAAAGAGUCGUCUUCCUCCCUCAACGCCUUCUUCCAUAUCGGGUCUUUCCUCCUCCACCACCACCUCCUCCUCACUUCCCUUGGGAUAACCAGGAACCAUAACGGUCACAUCGCCCCACGCGCCUGAGGUAUACAGAACCGUUUUGCCUGGGUCCCCGAGGCACAAUGGCGCUUCGUCGGGGUAGAGGUGUGGGAGAAAGCUUGUGAGAAUGUCCUCAGCGUCGUCAGCGGAGGCGGGAGAGCAUGUCUGGGCAUCUUCGACGGUCAAGAUAGCGGUGGUUGCGGGGAGGUCAUGGCUGUGCAGGGGUUUAACGCGAGCGGGGAGCAUCGCGUGGUGUUUGCGGGUAUUUGUAUUUGGGACAUUUGACUUGGAUGAAAGGGCGCCUGGAUUUCUAGUUGGGCAACAUGAUUGCUGGUAUCGAGCAGCAGGAGAAAUGAAGGAGGAAUGAGUGAGUGAGUGAGUGACUGGGUGAGGGGGAGAUCUGAUAAGAAUGGGCAAACGUUAUCUGAUGACGCUAAGUCUCUCAGAGCGGAGACUUUCGUAUAACCAACUAACCUCCUGUAUUUUGUAAACCCGAAUCCAGCCCUGCCCUGCUCGCAUAAUCGCACGUCACCUCUUACAAACACUGCAUUUUGAUCAUGUAAUUAUCAGAGCGAUCUUUAGUUAAUUCAUUAUUCAUUCGAUAUUCGGUAUUUGGGUCAAUAUUCGGACAUUCUACCCUUCCAACAAUCUCUUAUCAGAAAAAAAAUAUAUCAGACCAUCUGCAAGAAGAAUAACCAACUGAAUUCUGCGUUUGCAGAUCCAACGGAGACUAGAAAAGCACUAAACACGCACCAAAGGAGAGUAAAAGAAAGCGAGGAGGAAGAAAGAGCCACCAGAUUGGUCAAUGAUUGCUUUGACAGGAAUUAAACUGACACAAUCACUAGGAUUCAGUUUUCAGCUCUGCUUCUCUUCCCCUCUUUUUCUCCAGCUCUCAGACGGGGUCAGCAGCUGUGACUCCUUCGGAGAGAUAUACCAAGUAAUGGAAAAAAUAGUAGAUAAAAGCUUCACCUGUUCGCCUACGGCCGUUAGCCUAGCGUUGUCAGCCUCUAUUGAAGACAAUUUGACCCAUACAUAUCGACUGCUGGCUUUCGAAGCAAAAAGAAUAAUAUUGCUAGCUAAUGAAGAUGAUAUUAUUUAAACUCCAAAACGGCCAUGGGCCAGCUGGCUAGAUCGUACUAUACUGCGGAGAUAAGACCUUGCGACUAAUCGCCGUCGCCUUGCAUGCCUUUGCUAACCCCCACCCCGCCGUACAUUAUUUCUCAUAUGCAACUGCAGCGAUGUCAGGGGAGUUUCGCGGAUACCAUGCACAUUGCUUUAUCUCGUAAGGUGAUUGUCGGACGGUUGUCGAUUGGUUGUCGAUUGGGCGGUGCGGGGAGACAUUGAAUCGGAGAUGCGAGGGUGAGGAGGUGGCGGGGUAUAUAGAGCAUGGAGGAAUGAGACUGUAUGGAUAGUAGAUGUUAGCGGCGGGCGGAGACAUUGCAUCUUGAGUUCGUUCUUACCAUCGCCCGGGGCAUUGUCCAUUGUCCUGGUUAUUUUUGGGCUAGACAACAACGCUGGCUCUUAGCAUGGUGGCGAUCACCCCGCGGAGAGGGCGAGCUGAGUCAAACCAUGGGUGGAGGCAGAAAUGCACCGUAAGGGACGGUUGUUUCAUUGGGGCCCCGCUACUCCUGAACCCUCGCAUCAUGGAGGGGGUAUAAAUAAAUGCACAAACACCUUCGCUGUCAAGAAGGCAUAGGCGUUCACCUAGUCUGUGCUACAAAUCCAACUCUACCUCGAUUUCCAUUACGCCAGCUCUAUAAACAGAUAGUAUAAAUAACGAAGCAGCAACGGCGAAGCAAAGCGAAGAUGGACCCCCUCAUGCAAAAGACCUUCACAACCUCGCGCUCCCUCACAUACUCCUACUAUAUCUCACCCCCGCC